This 657-nucleotide ribosomal RNA is filed under the name uncultured Desulfobacteraceae bacterium. Its description in RNAcentral is "bacterial SSU rRNA". It matches the Rfam family "Bacterial small subunit ribosomal RNA", at positions 28 to 657 of the family's 1533-position model. Lineage: Bacteria; Pseudomonadati; Thermodesulfobacteriota; Desulfobacteria; Desulfobacterales; Desulfobacteraceae. The record is from RNAcentral.
AAUGAACGCUGGCGGCGUGCUUAACACAUGCAAGUCGCACGAGAACGCUUCAGCUUGCUGGAGCUAGUAAAGUGGCGCACGGGUGAGUAACGCGUGGGUAAUCUACCUCCGAAUUGGGGAUAACACUGCGAAAGCGGUGCUAAUACCGAAUGACAUCCCCGGGACCUUGGUUUCGGGGAUCAAAGGUGGCCUCUACAUGUAAGCUACCGUUUGGAGAUGAGCCCGCGUACCAUUAGCUAGUUGGUAGGGUAAUGGCCUACCAAGGCUGCGAUGGUUAGCUGGUCUGAGAGGAUGAUCAGCCACACUGGAACUGACACACGGUCCAGACUCCUACGGGAGGCAGCAGUGAGGAAUUUUGCGCAAUGGGGGAAACCCUGACGCAGCAACGCCGCGUGAGUGAUGAAGGCUUUCGGGUCGUAAAGCUCUGUCAAGUGGGAAGAACAUGCCCUGUGAUAAUACCAUGGGGCACUGACGGUACCACUGAAGGAAGCACCGGCUAACUCCGUGCCAGCAGCCGCGGUAAUACGGGGGGUGCAAGCGUUAUUCGGAAUCAUUGGGCGUAAAGGGCGCGUAGGCGGCCCCUUAAGUCAGAUGUGAAAGCCCUCAGCUUAACUGAGGAAGUGCAUUUGAAACUAAGGGGCUUGAGUAUGGGAGAGG